UGUGACUUAUCUCUUUGUUGCCUCGGCGCAAGCUACCCGGGACCUCGCGCCCCGGGGGGCCCGCCGGCGGACAAACCAAACUCUGUUAUCUUCGUUGAUUAUCUGAGUGUCUUAUUUAAUAAGUCAAAACUUUCAACAACGGAUCUCUUGGUUCUGGCAUCGAUGAAGAACGCAGCGAAAUGCGAUAAGUAAUGUGAAUUGCAGAAUUCAGUGAAUCAUCGAAUCUUUGAACGCACAUUGCGCCCAUUAGUAUUCUAGUGGGCAUGCCUGUUCGAGCGUCAUUUCAACCCCUAAGCACAGCUUAUUGUUGGGACUCUACGGCUUCGUAGUUCCCCAAAGACAUUGGCGGAGUGGCAGCAGUCCUCUGAGCGUAGUAAUUCUUUAUCUCGCUUUUGUUAGGCGCUGCCCCCCCGGCCGUAAAACCCCCAAUUUUUUCUGGUUGACCUCGGAUCAGGUAGGAAUACCCGCUGAACUUAAGCAUAUCAAU
Molecule: ribosomal RNA, 487 nt
Filed under: Nigrospora oryzae
Lineage: Eukaryota; Fungi; Ascomycota; Sordariomycetes; Amphisphaeriales; Apiosporaceae
Description: eukaryotic LSU rRNA
Rfam family: 5.8S ribosomal RNA (bases 128-281)
Source: RNAcentral